UCUUUGAAAAGUUUUACGGCGAAGAAAGAAGGGGAGGGGCGGGCGAGCGAGCGAGCGAGAGUUAAUAAUGUCUCGCUCAAUUAAUAAACAUGGCAAUUUCACACCCCAAAGAGAAGGCCAUUAUCCCCUCCCAAGCGCUUAGCGGCGCCGACACAAAAGGGGUCACGGCGCAGCUGCAGCAGCCCGGGUGCUAUUAAGGAGGGAGGCUGCUGAGCGCAGCCCGCUUGCCAUUCCCCAGCUCGUACCUCCAGGCGAAGUUUGGCUGCGGGCGCAGCCGGUGCCACCCCGUGAUAAAGGGCUUACUCGGCACGGAACGGAGGGGCGAGGCUUCCCCGGAGAAAGCAAUCGCCGGGCUCUGCCUCCCUCCCUCCCUCCCCAGCGCCGCUAAUUCGUCGCCCGCCUUCUUUUGCUCCCUCCUUUUGAUCGUUAGGAAGAUAUGAGAGACCGGGGAGGGUUUUUUUUUUUGUGGUGGCAAGAGAAAGGGCCCCUCCAAAUAAAAGAAUCGGGCGUAAUCUCUUAAAGCGCGUUACGCUGGGAGGAAGUGUGCUCUCCUCUCCGCGAUCGAUUGCAGCCCGGCGGCCACCAAGACAAAGGGGUCACCUCCUCGAACCGCCUGCUUCUGUCCGGAUGCUCUCUGAAAAGAUGCCUCAGAAUCAACUGCAAUCCUAGAAAGUGAAUAUCCAGCUUCCUGACAGCAAACAUGGACUGAACUCAGUGGGAUGUGGGUCUGAGUAGACAAGUUAACCAAUUGUGUUGACUCCAGAGAAACUCAAAGAGGUCUUGGCUGGUUAAUCUCUAUCUCUCUAAUACUAACCCUGAAAAUGAAAAAAAAAUCCUUUUUGUUUUACUGUGAUGGAAUCUAUUUGAAUGUAUCUUUGGGUGUGUACAAUGUGUAUUUAGUUACUUGUUCAAUAUUCAUAGUAAGCUUGUCUACUUAAAGCUGGAUGAUCAAGGAAAUCUGCCUAGGACCUUAUGUUCUGCAUCUUUUUAAUCGGGGAUGGGCAACCUGUGAUGCUUAAAAUGGGAGACUCCAAGCCCCAUGAGGCCCAUCAGUGUUGUUCAGUGUUGAAAAUUGAGGGAAAUUCUUCCUUAAAUCUACUGGAUGCCCGUAUGUUCAUAUAUCCCCAGUAUUUAUUAUGGGUUUCACUCGUAUGCAGAAAUCUCAUGGACUAAGUUAAUUGGAACUUACUUUCAAGUUGACACAAAUAGGAUGAUCCUGUAAAUACCUGAUUAGUUUUAAUGGUCCUUCAAAUAUGUCAGAAUUAAAUGGCAACUGAAUUACUAUUUUUUUUCCCCACAAGGAUGUUGUCCUUGGCUUACUGGAUGCCUUGGCUUUCCAUGAUGCACAGCUAAGUUCCUUUAAUGAACAGUGUCCUAAACUCACCUCCCUUUGGUAUAAUAUCAAGGUAUACACCAGUGGCCCCCAAUCUUUUGGGCACCAGGGACCAGUUCUGUAAAUCCCCCCCCCCCGGAGGGUAUGGUUUUGUGCACUAUCUAGAUCCCAUACAUGAGCAGAUGAAUCUUUGUUUGCUUGGGUAGCCAGGUUCCCAACACGGUUUGCCGGCCCUGGGAGUUGGGGACCUCUGGUAUACACCUUUACAAAAAUCCAAAGGCCAAAAUGAGCACAAAUGAAUAAAGAAAACAAUACAGUGAAACUUUGACAAAGAUGGAUUUAUUGUAGCAGUGUAACUAAAAGAUUCUACUGAUCCCACCUGGACUCUGUCUAUACCUCCCCAAGGGAGGUACAUCUCACAGUCUGGGAAAUGUGCUUUAAUGGAGGGAGGUUAGUGCUGCACUGAUAGAAUUCAGUUAUGUGUAAGCCGUAUCAGGGGUGAUCAGUAGCUGCGCAGCUUUGAAGCAUAGAGACUACAGAGAGUCCUCGCUUACCGACCACUUGGUAAAUGAUUAUAAUGGUGCUGAAAAAAGGUGAUUUAUGAUCAAUCCUUGAAGUUGCAGCUGUCAUCACAUUAUCGUGAGUUGGGCACUUGGCAACAUUUAUGACAAUCACACCAUCCCAUGGUCUCUGUGUCAGAGAAGAUCUGGAUUCCAGAAACCUUUGCUUGAUUUUUUACAACUUACACAUUGCAGAUAGUCCUUAACUUAACAACAGUUGUUUUUAGUGACCGAAGUUACAGUGGGACGGAAAAUAAUACUUAUGGUCAUUUUUCACACUUACGACUGCUGCAGCAUCCCCAUGGCCACAUGAUCAAAAUUCAGAUGCUUGGCAACUGGUUCAUAUUUAUGACGGUUGCAGUGUCCUGGUGAUCACCUUUUGCGACCUUUUGAUAAGCAAAGUCAAUGGGGGAAGCAGAUUCAUUUAAUAACUGUGUUACUAGCUUUACAACUGCAGUGAUUCACUUAACAAAUGUGGCAAGAACAGUUGUAAAAUGGGGCAAAACUCACUUAACAAAUAUCUUGCUUAGUGACAGAAACUUGGGGCUCAAUUGUGGUAGUAAGUCGAGGACUACCUGUAUAAUAAUAGGUCCAGACCUAUAGUCUAGUAACCCCACUGUAAGGAACUCCCACUUUUCUGGGGGGAAAUAAAAGAACGGUUAUAUAAAUGACCUUCCACCAAGUACCAGUAGACCAGUACUUCUACCAGCACUAGUGAUAUAUGAAUACCAAGCAGGUAGGGCUGAAAUGCUGUUUCAUUCUGGCCUGCUUCCUUGCUGUGACAAGGCUAGAUUUGCCCAAGCCUAAACUGCCUUAACAAAUAAAGUCAUUUUGUUGAAAAUUGCUUUUAACCACUGCAUCCAAACAUCUUAGAUAAUAUUUUCCGGAGCAGAAAAUGGUUCAAACUUGACAUUAAAUAGUCCUAAACCUUACCGUUUCAUUCCCUACUACUCCCGCUGCAUUUAGGGCUCAAAGGAAAUAGAGAUCACAGGGUGAGGAGGGGGAGAAAGGAAAAAGGAAACGUAAUUACAUUUUAAGAAAGUAAACACCAGUGAGGCAUUUUGAUGGCCUAGCAAUAAACAUGGCCGACGACCAGAGUUGGAAAUGAAGUUCCAGUAGGCGGGGCCUGACUCUUCCAUCCCUCCCUCUGUUGACUCAGCAUCUUCCCGAAAUUAUUUUGCCAAAAUUAUCCCCCCUUCCCGGUCAGUUUUUUAGAAUCGGUUGAAGUUGACUUGUGUUACUGGCUUUACAAUUGACAUGGUUGUUUCUGAGUGUAGCAUCAUUAGAAGUUUGAACCGGGCUGCCCCUGGAUUACAAGAGAAAUAAAUUGAGCAAGCAAAGGGAGGAAGUGUGCGGCAUGUGCCCUCGCUUCCUAUUGACAUGCAAAAGAGGGAGGGCCCAGAAAAAGGAAAAGGAAGCACGCUCUUUGCCUUUUCUCCUACGCCCCGGGUUGGUUCAGCAGCCAGCCAGAGGAAGGAUUUGCCCUUCGCUUGUUCAUGCUUUCAGCACCUGUCACCUGGAGAAGUUGUGACUCCACAUGCCCCUGGGCGGAGGCUUCACAGUUGGGCCACAUUCUUCCUGCCACUCAUGAGCGUUGAUUUCCUCACUUCUUUCCAAACUCUCUUUUUCCUUUGAAGCAACCUGGCCAGCCACCACCACUGCCACACUCAUUCGAAACAAACCCCGUCGUGAGGACUCCCCCUCAUGGGUUUUUGAGCUGGUGGAAGAAUGCAAAUGUUUAUUUCAGUUUCAUGUAUACAAGUGUACAAGAAAACAACGCCAUGCAUGCAUUUCUGGGAGAAAGGGUUUCAAUUGUGCUGUGGCUUAAUCUUAGCAAUACUCGUCUGAUGUAAGAUAAAUUCCUCAAACUGGUUUUGGUAGAACUAAUUUGAACUAUAAGCUCUAUCCAAAAGACACUUUCAAACUUUUGGAUAAGAUGUAAUAGACUUUAUUUACUUCUGGGCCAGGCGGGGCAGGAGGGAGGGAAGCUGAGGUAUGUAUAAGUUCCAUACUUAUAAAGAAUGCAGCCGGAAAAAACCAACCAAAACAGAGACAAAUUCUGUUUGUUCUUGUAACACCUCCUAAAUAUUAAUGAAUUAAAUUAAUUAAAUAUAAAUAAAUACCCCAUUACAGCA
Pantherophis guttatus is the source of this 4028-nucleotide long non-coding RNA. RefSeq lists it as uncharacterized. Lineage: Eukaryota; Metazoa; Chordata; Lepidosauria; Squamata; Colubridae. The record is from RefSeq and is a predicted model, not a curated record.